RNAcentral lists this ribosomal RNA (253 nucleotides) under uncultured bacterium. RNAcentral describes it as "partial 16S ribosomal RNA". It matches the Rfam family "Bacterial small subunit ribosomal RNA", at positions 524 to 776 of the family's 1533-position model. The record is from RNAcentral.
GACAGAGGUGCCGAGCGUUAGGCGGAAUCACUGGGCUUAAAGCGUGUGUAGGCGGGCGGCCAAGUACCUUGUGAAAUCCCACGGCUCAACCGUGGAACUGCUGGGUAUACUGGUCGUCUUGAGCCAAUCAGGGGCGAGCGGAACAGACGGUGGAGCGGUGAAAUGCGUAGAGCCCGAUCGGAACACCGGUGGCGAAGGCGGCCUGCUGGAGCCGGGCCGACGCUGAGGCGCGAGAGCGCGGGGAGCGAACGGG